UGUUAUGGCCGAUUGGAAUUCUUGACAGAAAAUCUUCUCUCCUCUCCUCACGGACAAAACGCAGCGGCGAACGCUCCUCUUCUCCGAUCAGAAUCCCCAUGAGUACCACCGUAACGGAGCUCCAUUCAUCACCACAAACGUCAUCCUUUCAACUAAACCUCUCUUGUCUCUUCCUUCACUUGUAAUCGUUAAUCUUUCUCCAACGUCACUCGGUUUCGAUCCCUCAUCAAUUAGUUUCCCUCGCAACCGGAGUGAUUCCGAUGAUCUUUCAAUCUUCGACGAUAGAGUAAAACUCAAUGAAAAAGCUGCUCCGACGAUGUUGUUGUAGGAGCGUGAUGAUGAAGAUUCGAAAAUUAGAGAUGAAUUGUGUGGAGUGAGGCAGAGCGAUGAUUUUCAGAGUGGAGGAGAAAGAUGAAGGUAGAUGAUUGACGAGAGUUUUGGUUCUUGAAGAAUCUGGUGGUUGAAGAAUAUAGAAGAGAAGAUAAGGGAGAUUGAAGAUUGCAGAGAGUUUGUUACAAGGUUAUUGGUGGAGGAGAAUGGUGGUGAAGAAGAUGGUGAAGAAGGUGGAAGAGAAUGAAGAGGGUGAGUGAAGUUGAAGAUUGAAGAAUGUGAAGUGAGGAUGGAGAUGAAUGAAUGAAGAGUGAAGAACUGAAGCAUAGAGCAGUGUUCCUGUUAUAUAGGUGGUGAAGAGGAUAAAUUCAGUUAGAGCUUGAGAAAGGUUGGAGAUUCAAUGGUGAGAUGUGGGGUUGGUUAGACUUGAAGGGUCGAGAUUGCAGAGAUUCUAAGGUCGGCAGCUCUGUGAAGCAGCUGAAGGCACCGUUUUUUAUCUCCUUUUUUGCAGAGCUAUGGUGACUACUUGAUGAAGGCCAGGCUAAACUCCUGGAAGUUAAUGAUUUAAACCUGUUAAAUAGAGCUUAUGAACUUAAGGCCUUUGGUUUAGAGGUAAUCAUGUGACCUUCCCUUUCUUUCUUGUUCUAGGUUCCAAAAGUGGAGAAGCAGUGGGGUCUGUGCGAUUGGAAACAUAGAAGGGUGGACUUCCUCAACUGUUGUCAUACUAGUUAGCACCAUGGUGAAAAAACAGAAUGGACUAGCUUGUCAACUUUAGUGCAAAUAUGCAAUUCUCAUGUAUAGUACCUUUGUAACGUGCUUUUGCCACUUUAUAGUAGGACUUUUUUGUAAUGGAUUAUCUUGUAACGUAUCAUGAUCUUCGAAACAUAAUUGACCUUCUCUCAUGAAAUAUUGACCCUUUUUGUAACUUUGACUUGUAGUGAUUCUUGAGCUUGAAAUCGUGAAUGUUGUGAACUUUUGUAAUAGAUUUUGAAUGGAACUUGAAUGGAUAAUUGUGAUGAAUAUUUUAUUCUUCAAUCAAUAAAGAACAACUUCUCUCUAUUUCUUUUGGAUUUGUAAAUAC
This is a long non-coding RNA of Vicia villosa (hairy vetch), 1411 nucleotides long. RefSeq lists it as uncharacterized. The transcript is spliced from 4 exons. NCBI's taxonomy places the organism in Eukaryota, Viridiplantae, Streptophyta, Magnoliopsida, Fabales, Fabaceae. The record is from RefSeq and is a predicted model, not a curated record.